RNAcentral lists this long non-coding RNA (248 nucleotides) under Vigna radiata. RNAcentral describes it as "long non-coding RNA (VRAD_LNC000162)". The record is from RNAcentral. Lineage: Eukaryota; Viridiplantae; Streptophyta; Magnoliopsida; Fabales; Fabaceae.
UCGAUUUCAUCUUACCAAGCUGCAGAUUACGCAGAGAGGCCACCAUCUCGUUCAUAGAAGGUGACACAGGUGGAGAUUCCGGUGGAGAAAGAGAAGCAGCCGGAGACGACAUGAACGCCGAAGACUGCAGAACCUGUCUCAUCGGAGAACCGUCGUAUGAAUCCCCCGAGCUGCGAGGACUCUGCAUCGGAACGAGACGCAGCUGUUCCGGGGUGUGCGCAAAGAAGCACACGCGCCGGCGGCAACUG